This 431-nucleotide ribosomal RNA is filed under the name uncultured bacterium. Its description in RNAcentral is "partial 16S ribosomal RNA". It matches the Rfam family "Bacterial small subunit ribosomal RNA", at positions 29 to 507 of the family's 1533-position model. The record is from RNAcentral.
AACGAACGCUGGCGGCAGGCUUAACACAUGCAAGUCGAGCGCCCCGCUAGGGGCGCGUCGCACAGGUGUGUAUCACGUGGGAACAUACCUCUUUGUUCUCGAAAACUCCCCCAAACUGGAGCUAUAACCGGGGAAGCUCUCACCGGGAAAGAUUUAUCGCCCAAAGAUAUGCCCGCGUCUGAUUAGCUAGUUGGUGUGGUAACGGCUCACCCAGGCGACGAUCAGUAGCUGGUCUGAGAGGAUGAUCAGCCACACUGGGACUGAGACACGGCCCAGACUCCUACGGGAGGCAGCAGUGGGGAAUAUUGGACAAUGGGCGCAAGCCUGAUCCAGCCAUGCCGCGUGAGUGAUGAAGGCCUUAGGGUUGUAAAGCUCUUUUGUCCGGGAAGAUAAUGACUGUACCGGAAGAAUAAGCCCCGGCUAACUUCGUG